AUGUGGAGAUACUAUGAUGCAAGCACAUGGCUUCCAGAUGACAUACAUGUUCUUCCCAACAACAAGCUAGCUGAUCUCAGGUAUCAGUCAGGUAUCAGCCCUUCUGAGCUAUUUUUGCAGUCUCUUAGUGUGGCUGACUUACUCUUUUGCUGUGAGCUACUGAGGUUAAAGAUGGAUCUGAAUCCUGUGGAAGUGGAGAGAUGCAUCCAGACUGAGGGUGUCUUUUCGGGAGGGUAGGUCUAGCAUGUGGACAGUACUGUCAGCUGGUGCUGCAGAGUUAUGCCACCUUUCUGCAUAAACCAACACAAAUCCACUUGGCAAAUAUACAGAAGAAAGAUAACUUUUGUCAGCUCCACUUAUGCUGUUUGUGUAUCUGAUACAACCAGACCAGCAGGGAAGCUAUUCAUAAAUGCUGUUUCCUCUCAGGGGCUUUGCAGAAAAAGCCUUGCUCACAAUUCAAAAAAUUUGGUGCUUCUUCUCCCAUCAAACUCUGGGUGUGUGAAACAAUAAGAAAUGUCAUAUCUAAUCACAUAUUCACAAAGUGUUGUUUGCAUACAUAAAGCCAUCUGUUCUGAUCAGCUUUUUCUGCCCAUACAUCAAUUCAGAGCAAGACAAGGUUAUGAUUAUCAUUAUUUAUAAUAUUAUCCCCAUUCUCUCUAGCAUGCUAACAUCCACUUGCUGUCAUCUGAUUUCCCACCAUGUAAAUUAGCUAGAGCAGCAGAAACUGUAGUUUGAGAAAGAGAUC
Molecule: long non-coding RNA, 745 nt
Filed under: Phasianus colchicus (ring-necked pheasant)
Lineage: Eukaryota; Metazoa; Chordata; Aves; Galliformes; Phasianidae
Description: lncRNA (ENSPCLG00000003306.1)
Source: RNAcentral